CCUACGGGGAGCUGCAGUGAGGAAUAUUGGUCAAUGGACGAGAGUCUGAACCAGCCAAGUAGCGUGAAGGAUGACUGCCCUAUGGGUUGUAAACUUCUUUUAUAUGGGAAUAAAAUGUUCCACGUGUGGGAUUUUGUAUGUACCAUAUGAAUAAGGAUCGGCUAACUCCGUGCCAGCAGCCGCGGUAAUACGGAGGAGCCGAGCGUUAUCCGGAUUUAUUGGGUUUAAAGGGAGCGUAGGUGGAUUGUUAAGUCAGUUGUGAAAGUUUGCGGCUCAACCGUAAAAUUGCAGUUGAAACUGGCAGUCUUGAGUACAAUAGAGGUGGGCGGAAUUCGUGGUGUAGCGGUGAAAUGCUUAGAUAUCACGAAGAACUCCGAUUGCGAAGGCAGUUCACUGGACUGCAACUGACACUGAGGCUCGAAAGUGUGGGUAUCAAACAGGAUUAGAUACCCUUGUAGUC
RNAcentral lists this ribosomal RNA (460 nucleotides) under uncultured bacterium. RNAcentral's name for it is "partial 16S ribosomal RNA". It matches the Rfam family "Bacterial small subunit ribosomal RNA", at positions 338 to 795 of the family's 1533-position model. The record is from RNAcentral.